UUCGGGAUGCUCAUCGUGAGCAGGGCGUCAUUUUGAAAUAUGACAAACUUGGUAUCAUAGCACAAUUCAUGGUCCUAAGGUAUCUACGAAGUCGCGUCAGAUAGAGUCCUUUUUAUGGGUGUGUAGUACGUCACACUUAUAAGGAGGAUGCGAAUGUCUCUUAUUUCUUUAAGUUCUAGUUUGUGUUGUAGAGUUUGAAUGUCCCCUAACUCAUGAUUUCCUAUAUUUUAGAGAUUGAUUAUGCCUCCC
Molecule: long non-coding RNA, 249 nt
Filed under: Capsicum annuum
Lineage: Eukaryota; Viridiplantae; Streptophyta; Magnoliopsida; Solanales; Solanaceae
Description: long non-coding RNA (CANN_LNC008366)
Source: RNAcentral